UUAAAUUGAAGAGUUUGAUCAUGGCUCAGAUUGAACGCUGGCGGCAGGCCUAACACAUGCAAGUCGAACGGUAACAGGAAGCAGCUUGCUGCUUCGCUGACGAGUGGCGGACGGGUGAGUAAUGUCUGGGAAACUGCCUGAUGGAGGGGGAUAACUACUGGAAACGGUGGCUAAUACCGCAUAACGUCGCAAGACCAAAGAGGGGGACCUUCGGGCCUCUUGCCAUCAGAUGUGCCCAGAUGGGAUUAGCUA
Molecule: ribosomal RNA, 252 nt
Filed under: Salmonella enterica subsp. enterica serovar Tennessee
Lineage: Bacteria; Pseudomonadati; Pseudomonadota; Gammaproteobacteria; Enterobacterales; Enterobacteriaceae
Description: partial 16S ribosomal RNA
Rfam family: Bacterial small subunit ribosomal RNA
Source: RNAcentral